Molecule: ribosomal RNA, 2658 nt
Filed under: Klebsiella pneumoniae KP1-I
Lineage: Bacteria; Pseudomonadati; Pseudomonadota; Gammaproteobacteria; Enterobacterales; Enterobacteriaceae
Description: bacterial LSU rRNA
Rfam family: Bacterial large subunit ribosomal RNA
Source: RNAcentral
GCGGCGAGCGAACGGGGAGCAGCCCAGAGUCUGAAUCAGCUUGUGUGUUAGUGGAACGGUCUGGAAAGUCCGACGGUACAGGGUGAUAGUCCCGUACACCAAAAUGCACAGGCUGUGAACUCGAAGAGUAGGGCGGGACACGUGGUAUCCUGUCUGAAUAUGGGGGGACCAUCCUCCAAGGCUAAAUACUCCUGACUGACCGAUAGUGAACCAGUACCGUGAGGGAAAGGCGAAAAGAACCCCGGCGAGGGGAGUGAAAAAGAACCUGAAACCGUGUACGUACAAGCAGUGGGAGCACCUUCGGGUGUGACUGCGUACCUUUUGUAUAAUGGGUCAGCGACUUAUAUUCUGUAGCAAGGUUAACCGUAUAGGGGAGCCGCAGGGAAACCGAGUCUUAACUGGGCGUUAAGUUGCAGGGUAUAGACCCGAAACCCGGUGAUCUAGCCAUGGGCAGGUUGAAGGUUGGGUAACACUAACUGGAGGACCGAACCGACUAAUGUUGAAAAAUUAGCGGAUGACUUGUGGCUGGGGGUGAAAGGCCAAUCAAACCGGGAGAUAGCUGGUUCUCCCCGAAAGCUAUUUAGGUAGCGCCUCGUGAACUCAUCUUCGGGGGUAGAGCACUGUUUCGGCUAGGGGGUCAUCCCGACUUACCAACCCGAUGCAAACUACGAAUACCGAAGAAUGUUAUCACGGGAGACACACGGCGGGUGCUAACGUCCGUCGUGAAGAGGGAAACAACCCAGACCGCCAGCUAAGGUCCCAAAGUCAUGGUUAAGUGGGAAACGAUGUGGGAAGGCACAGACAGCCAGGAUGUUGGCUUAGAAGCAGCCAUCAUUUAAAGAAAGCGUAAUAGCUCACUGGUCGAGUCGGCCUGCGCGGAAGAUGUAACGGGGCUAAACCAUGCACCGAAGCUGCGGCAGCGACACUAUGUGUUGUUGGGUAGGGGAGCGUUCUGUAAGCCUGCGAAGGUGUGCUGUGAGGCAUGCUGGAGGUAUCAGAAGUGCGAAUGCUGACAUAAGUAACGAUAAAGCGGGUGAAAAGCCCGCUCGCCGGAAGACCAAGGGUUCCUGUCCAACGUUAAUCGGGGCAGGGUGAGUCGACCCCUAAGGCGAGGCCGAAAGGCGUAGUCGAUGGGAAACAGGUUAAUAUUCCUGUACUUGGUGUUACUGCGAAGGGGGGACGGAGAAGGCUAUGUUAGCCGGGCGACGGUUGUCCCGGUUUAAGCAUGUAGGCUGAUUGUCCAGGCAAAUCCGGAUAAUCAAGGCUGAGGUGUGAUGACGAGGCACUACGGUGCUGAAGUAACAAAUGCCCUGCUUCCAGGAAAAGCCUCUAAGCAUCAGGUAACAUCAAAUCGUACCCCAAACCGACACAGGUGGUCAGGUAGAGAAUACCAAGGCGCUUGAGAGAACUCGGGUGAAGGAACUAGGCAAAAUGGUGCCGUAACUUCGGGAGAAGGCACGCUGGUGUGUAGGUGAAGUCCCUGCGGAUGGAGCUGAGACCAGUCGAAGAUACCAGCUGGCUGCAACUGUUUAUUAAAAACACAGCACUGUGCAAACACGAAAGUGGACGUAUACGGUGUGACGCCUGCCCGGUGCCGGAAGGUUAAUUGAUGGGGUUAUCCGUAAGGAGAAGCUCUUGAUCGAAGCCCCGGUAAACGGCGGCCGUAACUAUAACGGUCCUAAGGUAGCGAAAUUCCUUGUCGGGUAAGUUCCGACCUGCACGAAUGGCGUAAUGAUGGCCAGGCUGUCUCCACCCGAGACUCAGUGAAAUUGAACUCGCUGUGAAGAUGCAGUGUACCCGCGGCAAGACGGAAAGACCCCGUGAACCUUUACUAUAGCUUGACACUGAACAUUGAGCCUUGAUGUGUAGGAUAGGUGGGAGGCUUUGAAGCGUGGACGCCAGUCUGCGUGGAGCCAACCUUGAAAUACCACCCUUUAAUGUUUGAUGUUCUAACGUUGGCCCCUGACCGGGGUUGCGGACAGUGUCUGGUGGGUAGUUUGACUGGGGCGGUCUCCUCCCAAAGCGUAACGGAGGAGCACGAAGGUUAGCUAAUCCUGGUCGGACAUCAGGAGGUUAGUGCAAUGGCAUAAGCUAGCUUGACUGCGAGCGUGACGGCGCGAGCAGGUGCGAAAGCAGGUCAUAGUGAUCCGGUGGUUCUGAAUGGAAGGGCCAUCGCUCAACGGAUAAAAGGUACUCCGGGGAUAACAGGCUGAUACCGCCCAAGAGUUCAUAUCGACGGCGGUGUUUGGCACCUCGAUGUCGGCUCAUCACAUCCUGGGGCUGAAGUAGGUCCCAAGGGUAUGGCUGUUCGCCAUUUAAAGUGGUACGCGAGCUGGGUUUAGAACGUCGUGAGACAGUUCGGUCCCUAUCUGCCGUGGGCGCUGGAGAAUUGAGGGGGGCUGCUCCUAGUACGAGAGGACCGGAGUGGACGCAUCACUGGUGUUCGGGUUGUCAUGCCAAUGGCACUGCCCGGUAGCUAAAUGCGGAAGAGAUAAGUGCUGAAAGCAUCUAAGCACGAAACUUGCCCCGAGAUGAGUUCUCCCUGAGACUUUAAGUCUCCUGAAGGAACGUUAAAGACGAUGACGUUGAUAGGCCGGGUGUGUAAGCGCAGCGAUGCGUUGAGCUAACCGGUACUAAUGAACCGUGAGGCUUAACCUU